UAUAAGCCAUUGGGGCAGUAUAUUAAUAGGAAGAUUGUCAUUUAUGACUUCUUAAAUCUUUCAAUGACUUCAGCCAUUGAAGGAUUUAAGAAAUGAACAAUGACUUCAGCCAUUCUAAUAUCCUCUGUUUUAUUUACUGUUUUGAUGACUCAUGCCUGACACCAUUCGAUGUUGAUGUACUGAUAAAAAUGCUUGAUGAGUACUGUGUUAAAGGCUGGUUUUUUACACUAUUUUUGUGUUACUUUAAUUGGAUGUCCAGGCUUCUUAUCAUACUUCCUAUAUAUAAUUCUCAUCUGUCUAAAUCUUUGUUAUAAAUAGGAAUGAUGUAUACUCCAGCUCAUUGGAGUGGUGCUAUUGGUAGUUUAAUGUUUUUUAAACUAUGAAAAGUA
This 389-nucleotide long non-coding RNA is filed under the name Androctonus crassicauda. Lineage: Eukaryota; Metazoa; Arthropoda; Arachnida; Scorpiones; Buthidae. The record is from RNAcentral.